Long non-coding RNA from Wasmannia auropunctata (little fire ant), 310 nucleotides. RefSeq lists it as uncharacterized. NCBI's taxonomy places the organism in Eukaryota, Metazoa, Arthropoda, Insecta, Hymenoptera, Formicidae. The transcript is spliced from 3 exons. The record is from RefSeq and is a predicted model, not a curated record.
GAACUAUGACAAGUACGAUGACAAGUACCUUCGUUGGCAUACCCUACUGCUUCUUCUGCUGCAAUUUCUAGAGAAGACGAAGAGGUACGCGGGCAGGGGCACAUCGGCAGCAAGAGCGCUUCAUGCGUUUCCUCUACCAAUUGUCUUCGGCCCAUUAUAAUUGGGGGCAUAGAAGACGUAAUACAUAUCAGCAACGUCCUCCGCCAUCUGAACAGGAAUAGUGCUUUUGUGAUUGGAACUCGAGCGUUAUUUUAGAAGAAAAGUCUGUUGCUCUGUGAUUUAUGCUAAGUUUGUACUGUUUUUAAGUUUG